Scophthalmus maximus (turbot) is the source of this 1040-nucleotide long non-coding RNA. RefSeq lists it as uncharacterized. The transcript has 4 exons. NCBI's taxonomy places the organism in Eukaryota, Metazoa, Chordata, Actinopteri, Pleuronectiformes, Scophthalmidae. The record is from RefSeq and is a predicted model, not a curated record.
GAGGACUCGUCGCAUUCUAAAAGCCCGUUUUGAUUUUCCACCGCGCUUCGUCAUGGACCCGCAGAGGAAAAGCUACGAUAGAUGGACCGACGGCGAGGUGCAGGCUCUGCUGAGCAUUGUGGGCGAGGACGACGAGUUCGAAGGUUUUUAUUAAGAGAAGGGGUCGGGCGUCACGUGCCGAGCGCUGCCAGAGCCGAAUGCUGCGGUGAACUGCCGACAACUGGGGACCGGUGCGGGACCAACUCUUCAUCCCCAGUUUACUCGCCGCCGCGGGGGCUCCCGAACCAGAUAAGCCGCCAGCUGGGUUAAAGAGCAGCACAAAGGGGCCUGGGCACUGAGGAAGCUGAUGAAGGAAAUCGUUUUGAAUGCGAGGGGCUGGACUACUACUGCAGUCCUAUUGUCGGCCAUCUGAGCUUGGGGCGAGUGUUUUCCAGCCAAUUAUGUGCAUCAGGGAUCCUUGAGCAACUGCUGGAUGCUCUCAGUCGAGGAAGGUGUUGGCGUCGACGCUGGGGCGGUUUGCGAUGAUUAACCAUUUUCAAGACAGACCGCAAAGGUUGCUUUCCCAUAUAUUGAUCUGUUGUUGUUUUUUAAAGCCACACGUGGUAGACUAUACGUACUACCUUUGUGCCAUGAUUCUUUACUGUGGAAUUCCAGCUACUAUACUUGUUAUAUGGAUCAUCUAAUAAUGUGAUUUAGAUGUCUCUGAUACAGUUAAUUAACAAGAUUUAAAUGUUCUGUAAUUAGUAUAGUUGUCUAUAUACAGUAUAGGUAUGAUAUUGUCCAUUAUUAUGCAGUUUUAAAUAAAGCGCAGAAGAGGUGACACGAGCGCAUAGUGGGAAAUAAAACACAUCAUUGAGUUGUUUGUCUUAGUAGCUAAAAAUGCAUUUGUACCGUGAUGUGUAUGAUCCAUAAAUCAUUAUUUGCAGCAUUUCCCUGCAAUUAUGAGAUGAAUUCACUUCAGCUACACUUUGAGACGUGUGAAAGGAAUGAUGACUUUGCCAAUUAGGGCGAUCUUCCUAUCAGCCGUUUUAUCUGUUUUG